RNAcentral lists this ribosomal RNA (1356 nucleotides) under Triticum aestivum (bread wheat). RNAcentral describes it as "partial small subunit ribosomal RNA". The record is from RNAcentral. Lineage: Eukaryota; Viridiplantae; Streptophyta; Magnoliopsida; Poales; Poaceae.
AUGCGACAUACAUUCGUCCCCGCUUAUUAUACUCGUGACAUGAUUAAAAAGUUGCAACAUUUAAAACAAGGUAGUGACACUGUAACGAAAUAUUAUGAUGAUUUACAAACUACCUUGUUGCAUUCCUCUUUGGCAGAAAGUGAAGAAGAAUUUAUGGAUAGAUUUUGGGGAGGAUUAAACCGUGACAUUCAGGAGAUACUAAUUCAUGAAACAUGUUAUCCUAUGGACCGUUUGUUUCGUCUUGCUUGCAAAGCUGAACAGGAGAUAACAAGACGUGUUGCCCACAAGAUAAACAAGCGGAAGGUGCAAAUCCCACGAGUUGCGACGGUUGUUCCUUCCACCACUACGUCUCCUAUGGCAACAACAUCCACUGUUGAGAGCACUACAUCAGCUCCACCAUGUGACGUAUCGCCACCUAGAGUGCCUACAUCAUCUUUGUUGAUCAUAAGAGGUAAUGACAAAGGUACCGAUCUUCCACCUCCACAUGAGUAUGAUGAAUUCCUUGUCAAUUUAAAUGAACCAUGCGAUGAGCUACCCACUACUUUGAUCACACCAGCUAUUUUAGAGGACUAUGUUCAUGAUUUGACUUUGCCAUGUGAUCAAACAAUUUUGAGUGAACCCAUUGAAUUAACUAUUGAUGCAAAAGAACCAUGUGAAUCAGUGAAAAGAUCAUAUUUGGAUCAAAUACGUUUGAAAAUAGUUGUGCCAAUGUUUAAUCAUUUUGAUAUGACCUCUAAUCUUGGUGAUGGUUCAUCAAGGUUGGGAUGGUUUAAUGAUGAGCAUUGCCAAUCUUUUAUUAUGAAUAAGAGCUUCACUUAUAUGUGCAAACUGAGUUGCAAUAUUUUCAUGCCUUUGACUUCUUGUGAUAAUAUAUUGGCUUUAUUUUUCACGACUUUUGAAGGGUGCUCUUGUAUAACUGUGUCACAUGUGCCACAACUGAGAUCAGUUAAAAUGGAUGACAUAUACAUAUACAACAUGUACACCUUGUCUCUAUUGUUAGCCAUAUUUCAGAUUAAGCAACGCCGAGGACGGCUUUGUUUUCAAGAAGGGGAGGAUGAUGAGGACAUGGCUACCACAGUUACACCCAUAUCCCCUAUUGUUUUACCUCUUGGAACAGUUGCUAGAGCUCGCCAAUUAAAUUAUCAGGUACUUUCGUUUCUUGGUAAUGUUUCUAGUGUUCAUGAGAAUAUGAUGCUGCCUAACUUAGAUACAUUUGUGUUGCUUCCAAUUGAAGGGCCUAGCACGGACAAGAAGGAUGAACAUUGGAGCAUGGUCAAGCACGGAGAUGAAGGUGCGUGCAAAGAGAACAAGAACGGAGGUUCAAGUGGAGAUUUCCGGACUUUGAAGCCACCAUGA